CCGGGGCCGGGGCGCCCGGAGCUGUCGGGAUGUAUGUGGCGGGCGCGUGUCCGCGCUGGGCGCUGCUGGCGCUGGCGCUGCCGCUGGCGCUGCCCGCGGAGCGGCUGGAGCUGCUGCCGCACGGAGAGGAGCGGGGCGACGCCGCGCUGGCUGCGGGAGACGACGCGCACUCGGCGGCGCUGGAGCUGAGCACCGCGCUGCGCUUCUACGGGGCGGCCGUGCGCUCCCUCUACGUUGCCACUAACGGGAUUAUUGCAGUCAAUGAACCUUCAAGUGAAGAAAAGUAUCUUGGUCAGUUCCCAGUCAGUUUUGGGGCUAUUGCUCCUUUUAUGGCUGACCUCGACACAACAGAUGGACGUGGAAAUGUGUAUUACAGAGAAGAUUCAUCCUCAGAUGUCUUGCAGCUUGCAUCAGACUAUAUCAAAAGAGGUUUUCCUGAGACUACUUUUGAUCCCAGUAGUGUUGUCAUUGUUACCUGGAAGCUCGUGGCUCCUUACCAGGCACCUGGAGAAGAUCAUGCUUUGGAAGAAAGGAGAAACACAUUCCAGGCAGUUUUAGCCUCUUCUGACUCCAGUUCCUAUGCUAUUUUCCUUUACCCAGAAGAUAGUUUGCAGUUCUAUAGUACAUACUCCAAGAAUGAUAAAGGAAAGAUUCCUGCUAUGGUUGGUUUUAGUGAAGCCUCCACAAACUACUACUUUUGGGAAAAGCCAGGAUCCUACAAUGUUGUUGCUGAUGAUGAAGAUGGCAUUAGAAAUCUGCACAAAAGCAGCAAUUCUGGGAAACAAGGUGUCUGGGUGUUCGAGAUUGGUAGCUCAUCUGACAGUAUUGUGCCUGCGAAGAUCAGCAAUGUUUUGGAGACCCUAGAAUCCAAUGAACAAGACCAGGAGAUGACUUCAAAACCUUUUAUGUCAGAGUAUGGCUCCACUGAAAUAAGACAGCAGUAUGUCACCAGUACUACAGACAGCACAGAAGACGAUCAGUACCAUGUUACGUAUAGUGUUCCUCAGCUAUCUGCAGAAGAAUUUCUGACUUCGUACCAAGAUGUGACAGGAGCACCUUCAACUGAGUCUUUUUAUAGUCAUCAAGAUUUCCCAACAGCAAAAGCUCCACCUCGUCAGUUCCACAUCCAGCAGUUCCCCCCACAGCAACCACAAAUCAUAGAUGUGGAAGAAUUUGAUGAAACUGGUAUAGUGUUCCGCUACCACACAGAUGUCCAGCAGACCUGUGCUAACAACCGCCACCAGUGCUCUAUACACGCUAUUUGCAAAGACUAUCCCAAUGGAUUUUGUUGCAGUUGUAUUGCUGGUUACAAAGGAAAUGGCAGACAAUGUGUGGCAGAAGGUUCUCCUCAGAGAGUCAAUGGGAAGGUCAAAGGAAGAAUCUUUGUGGGAAAUAACCCUGUUCCAGUUAUAUUUGAGAACACUGAUCUCCACUCCUAUGUUGUGAUGAACCAAGGGCGUGCCUACACUGCUAUCAGCACAAUCCCAGAGACUCUGGGCUAUUCAUUACUGCCUCUUGCCUCUAUUGGAGGUAUCAUAGGAUGGAUGUUUGCUGUGGAACAGCAAGGAUACAAAAAUGGAUUCAGUGUUACCGGUGGUGAGUUUACACGGCAAACUGAAGUAACUUUUCUUGGCAACAAUGAGAAGCUGGUUAUAAAGCAGAAAUUCAGUGGAAUUGAUGAGCAUGGUCACCUCACCAUCAGCACAGAAAUGGAGGGCAAAAUACCUGAGAUCCCAUCUGGCUCAUCAGUCCACAUAGAACCAUACACUGAACUCUAUCACACUUCUAGUUCUGUGAUCACUUCAUCGUCCACCAGGGAGUACACAGUGACAGAGCCAGAAAGGGACGGGGUUGCUUCCACAUACAUGGGUGCCUAUCAGUGGCGACAGACCAUCUCGUUUGAUGAAUGCAUUCAUGAUGACUCUCACCAUGCUGCUUCUGCUACUCAGCAGCUCUCAGUGGACAGUGUGUUUGUCCUGUAUAACAGAGAUGAGCAAAUUUUGCGAUAUGCUAUGAGUAAUUCCAUUGGCCCAAUCAGUGAUGGUUCUGCUGAUAUUAACAGGAAUCCUUGCUACACCGGUACCCAUAACUGUGACACCAAUGCAGUAUGUCGUCCAGGAACUGGAAAUAGUUUCUUCUGCGAAUGUUCCAUUGGCUUCCGUGGAGAUGGAAAUGUUUGUUAUGAUAUUGAUGAAUGUUCAGAGCAACCAGAUCUAUGUGGCAGCAAUGCAGACUGCAAUAAUCAGCCGGGAACCUACCGCUGUGAGUGUGUCGAAGGAUACCAGUUUGCAGCAGACGGGCGGACUUGUGUUGCUGUUGAAUAUGCCAUAAACCAUUGCCAGACAGGCACACACAAUUGUGACAUUCCUCAGCGCGCUCAAUGUGUGUACACUGGAGGGUCUGCCUACAUCUGCACAUGCCUCCCUGGCUUCUCUGGAGAUGGGCGUGCCUGUGAGGAUGUAGAUGAAUGUCAACAAGGCCAUUGUCAUGCAGAUGCUUUCUGCUACAACACUCCUGGGUCCUUCAGCUGCCAGUGUAAGGCAGGUUAUCGUGGGGAUGGUUUCCGGUGUGUGUUAGGAGAAGUAGGAAAGACCAAAUGCCAGCAUGAACGAGAAGCAGCUCUUGGAAGUGGAGGCGCUUUCUUCUCAAGAGUUGGUCACUUCAUUCCCCAGUGUGAUGAGCAUGGGAAUUACCUACCCACGCAGUGCCAUUCUAGCAGUGGAUAUUGCUGGUGUGUGGAUAGGGAUGGCAAUGAGAUUGAUGGUACUAGAAGUGGCCCAGGAGUUCGACCACCAUGUCUGAGCACAGCUGCUCCUCCUGUUGUUAUUGGGCCCUCUGUUCGACCAGAUACAGUACCUCUGCCUCCAGGAACACAUUUGCUCUUUGCCCAGAGUGGUAAAAUUGAACAUGUUCCACUAGAGGGAAACAGUAUGAAGAAGAAUGGUGCAAAAGCACUGUUGCAUAUUCCACAACAGGACAAAGUUGUUAUUGGAGUUGCUUAUGAUUGCACGGACAAGAUGGUUUAUUGGACAGACAUCAGUGGCCCUUCGAUCAGCAGAGCUAGCCUACAUGGUGGGGAGCCAACAACCAUCAUCAAAACAGACCUGGGAAGCCCUGAGGGGAUAGCUGUAGAUCAUCUGGGUCGCAACAUCUUCUGGACUGACUCUCAACUGGAUAGAAUAGAAGUGGCUAGGCUGGAUGGGCGCCAGCGUCGCAUCCUUUUUGACACCGACCUGGUGAACCCCAGAGCAAUUGUUGCAGAUCCUAUGAGAGGAAACUUGUACUGGACUGACUGGAACAGAGAAGCUCCUAAAAUUGAAACCUCAUAUAUGGAUGGCACAAACAGAAGAAUUCUUGUUAAAGAUGAUCUUGGGUUACCAAAUGGGCUGACGUUUGAUCCUUAUUCCUCAAUGCUUUGCUGGGUAGAUGCAGGUACAAAAAGACUGGAAUGCAUGAAUCCUAAUCAGCUUGGUCGACGAAAGGUUGUUGAAGGAAUUCAGUAUCCUUUUAGUGUUACAAGCUAUGGGAAGAAUUUAUACUACACAGACUGGAGAAGGGAUGCUGUCGUAGCAGUGGAUCGCACUAUUUCAAUAGAAAAUGAUAACUUCCAGCCUCACAAACGCUCCCGUCUCUAUGGAAUCACUACAGCCUUUGCUCAGUGCCCAGGAGGGCAUAACUACUGUACAGUGAAUAAUGGUGGUUGUACUCAUCUCUGCUUGGCUACCCCAGGAGGCCGUUCUUGCCGCUGCCCUGACAACACAGUUGGAGUGGAUUGUAUAGAAAGAAACUGAGCAUUAAAAUAAGCUUUAGAGCAGCAGACACCUUUUGGAAAUGUGCUGUAAACCGUUCACUCCUAUGAACACAAUCAGGCCCUAAAGAUAAGUGCUCCAUGCUGCUGACAGCAAGCCACAAUGCACAUAUGCAGACACACACACAGGCGAUGACUGUUUUGUAGCAGCUAGGCAAGGCAUAGCUACCCAGAUUGGCUCCAACUGCGUCUGGUUCCUUGUAAUAUUAUGUCCUUACUUUUAAAGGUAAAUGUGGAGGCCUUAGUUGCACCUGUGCUGAGCUAGAAGGUCUCUUGAAAAAUUAAAAGUAACAAAUACCAAACAGAGUAAUGAGGAUGGCACAACUUAAAUCCUGAGACUGGUUUGUACCUUGGAGUAUGCAACAGUUAUCUGCACAGUGGCAUUCUUAGUGCGUCAUAUAUGUCGCUGGGUUAUAAUCUCUGGCCAAGAGGCAACCAGGGCGUCCAAGGAUGAAUAGCUGUGAAUGGGAAGACCCAGUAAUAUCACAGAUUUAAUGCCUAACUGCAUUACUUCCCACUACCAGUCCUUCCACUUUCAAAACUUGAAUCUCAACUUUUGAUGCUUACAUUAUGAAAAUACUUUAUCCAUGUGCUCUGAGGGUAGUUCUCACCCUAGCUCAUGUGAUUCUUUCCCACAGUAUGUGAUUCUUUAUAGAUAAUCAACACUGCUUGGUGGACAUAUUUGAAGUUUUUGUUGGAUUUUAAGAGCUUUAUUUUUCUUCCGUCUGAGCUGGAUUCCUGAGCAGUUUCCUAAAAUUCACUAAACAAACUUUAGCUAUAGAUCUCAAUUGCUGAUAGUUCAUCAAAGAAUGGGUAUUGAUUCAUUUGGAGGCAUUUGGUUUUAAAUAGACACACAGUCCCAUUUGUUUCCUGAGAGCUUUUAAGGUAAUUUUAUGUUUGGUUCUGUAAGCCUGAAAGUGAUCUUUGAGUUCUAUCCUAGCAAUCUUUCUUCUUUAGCAAACUGUGCUGUGCCAUGCCUUUUUGUGAAGCAUGAGAAAUCGUGGCAGUUAGAAAUCUGAUUUCCAGGAAGGAAACCUGUGUCUUGAUGCUUAGAAGAAAAAAGAUAAUGAUGCCCCCUUUGUGUGCCAGUGUUCAGUGAACAGCAAAAAGUUGUCCUGAAAAUCAAAGCAAAAGUUGGUGUUUUCGUCAUCACCAAUGAGUUUGGAGCAGGGAGGGAACAUCAAAAUGCAUAUUUGUGUGUCAUAUUAGCAGUACAAAUCUGGGAGUGAAGUUUGGCUCUUACACUGUGUGUUGGGAAGGAGGCUUACCUGCAAGCCAGCAGAACAAAACAGGACUUGUGAGGCUUCUACCGGACCACAUAUCACAAUGUAGUGACCAGAGCAGUAAAGUAACAUUCCCAUUCCCUCAAUCCCUCUUAUGACACUACAAUAACAGUUUUAAACAGAGCCAAUUCUGAGUCUUAACUGUGUGACAUGUUCUUCUUUAAUUGUGUAUUUAUCAUAAAAUAACAAAGCAUAUAAACAUUUUAAAUUUUUUAUAACUUUUUUAUAACUUUUAAUUCAUUUUAUUCACACACUUAAUCAGGUAUGUCUUACUGUAAAUAUAAAAAAUGUGCUGAAAUGAAGGUGCUUAAUAACUCUUUCUCCAGAAUUGUUCACACAUCUGGUGAAAUAUUAAAGUUUACACUCUGUACAGGUGUCUACAGUACAGUGAAUAAAAUUUUCUGGGUUUUAUUUUCUAUAAAGAAGAAAGUCAUACCUGGAGAAAGAAGUGGUACAUGGUGUCUGAAAUCUCUUUUCCUGUUGAGUUCUGGGUUUUAGCCAACUCUUAAUAUCUAGUGAUGAUACUCCUUUUUGAAGAUGCAACACCAUAGGGUGGAAACUGCUGUUGGGGCUUUUGUGUUCUGAAACCAGUGGCACAGUUUUAUUCAAAACAAAUAUGUGAGAGCACUAAAAGAACAUAUAGCUUCCUCUGUUUUCACAGACUUACUGGUUGUUAACUAUUGCUGACUUUGUCAAGUAAGCUUAAUUCAGUUACAACAUACUUCAGACUUCUACAUUACUGGAAAUAUGGGGCAAGAACUGGGUUCAGUGGGGGACAGAAUUUGUAUCUCUGCUCAAAGAUGUGCUUGUGCCACUUCCUAGGUGACUUUGCUGCCUGGUGCCAAAGCGUGGCUCUGUGUGGCUGCAGGUGUGCUGUGGCUGCAGGGCAAGUUGCAAGCUAAGUGAAGUGUGGUCUGCUGGAGGUGAUGAUGCUGAGAUCUAAACUCCAAUUUAUGGCUACAGCAUGUCAGUGCCUUGGGGGAGAAUAGCAAAAGGCUGUGUGGUACUGUUUGGUGUACAGCUGGAGAACACUGUGCCUGUCAAGUGAGCCAUUGGAAAGGUUCUGGAAAGGGUGAUAAAUUUCAGCACUUCCUAGUCUGGAUAGUAAAGGGUUCCCCUUUUUCUGACUUUGUCUGCUGGACCUACUGACCUCCAAGCCAAUGUGGUAAUAAAUUCUCAGGAAGAAAAACUCAGAACAUCUUUAUUCCUACAACCUGGCAAGGAUAAGAAAGCUCUCCUAUUCUGCCUUCUAAACUGUGGUAUGGAUAAUUUAUUGAGCUUAUAAUUUUCAGUGAGAAUGAAACUGGGGAGCUUUUGGUCCAAAAUAUACAAGCAGCUGUUGGUCAAGAUGUGGAAUGCAAGAGUGGAAAUCUAAAUCCCUGUGCGUUUUAAAGUGAAUGGAGGUAUGAAAUUGAAACCGGCUGUGAUACUGAGCACUGAAAAGCAAAUUCUAGUUUAACAAAAUGUUCAUUGGCGAUCAACCACUUUCACACAGUUUCUUUUCUUCUUAAAACAAUUGCUUGCAUGAGGAACUUUCUCACUGCUCAAACUCAGUCAGGCUUAUGUUUUAGUUCUUCUCCUAGAAAAAAGAAUGAGGGGAAGGUCUUCUUGUCAAGAGUAUAAACUUAAUUUCCAAAUCAACAAAGACUCCAUAACUCAUGAGCUUUCUCCUCUGGUCAAGUCAGCCACUGCCAAGAGCUUCUUCUCUGUUUACAGCCUGCUCCACUGUAGCUGCGAGCAUGGACUGUUCAUGUUGCAGCCUGUUGUCAUGCUAAUGAGAGAAGAAGAGGGAAAACUGUUUGUAGGUCUCUAAUGAACUGUGAGAUGUGAUGAAAAAAAUCUGGAUUUAAGUCACCACCAGCUUUAAAAAGAAAUGUAUUCAGAGAUUCUGAUGUGCUUCUAACAUCUAAAAGAAAUCAGAUAAUUUUUACCUUGUACUCUCCAAAUAUUAAUAGGUUGCUUAUUAUUUUUAAGGUGGAAAAGAGUUAAUGGUUUUUGUUUGCAUUAGACAAUUUUUACUAACUAGAGCUAUUUAGAAUUGGAGUUUACAAGUAUCACAUUUUUUUAAAUUUGCUUUUCUUAGGGAAAGCAAGGAAAUUGAACAGUAAAGGCUGGUUUUGAACAACAUAUGUAACAUGUCUAUCUUCAUAUAUGCUGUCAGAUAUGUAUACGAAAAUGAUGUACUGAAUUGCGUUAGGUUCUUCCCUUCAUCCGUGUGCAUUAGAAAUUUGGCUUGGUAUUUUAUGGUAUACCUUGUUUGUUCUUGAGUAGUGGUGUGUUUUUCCAGUUACUGAAGUUUUUGUGAUCUCUCACACAUUGUUUCAAAUCUGGUUUAUUGCUUCUGAUCUAAAACAAAUUCCUAUGAUAUUCAUCUGAAACUUCAAUUUAAAAAGUGCUGUGCGUGAAAAUCUACUUGCAGAUAGUCAGGAAAUGUCAGUGGUGUAUACACAGUUCUGGGACAAACAGAGAGAGGAAGAAGGGUUACACUUUGUGAACUCACACGUCCUCAUUUCAAAAAUGGUCUUGGGGUAUUUCUUCAGAAAUACACUCUUAUCUCAAGGCACAGUUUGUUUAUAGAGGGUGAUAAAGAUUGAUAUGUAUGUUCCCUGUUCCUGCUUUAGAAUGUAAGACGUUUUCUUGUGCUUCCUCAUGCAGUUGAAAACAAGCUGGCUUACUGAUAGUCCAACUCCACAUUCCCUUUAGGAGAGAUAAAGAGUGAAAAAGAAGAGGGUUGUUAGCCAUUUCUUGCAGUUUAACGACACAAAACAAGUUAGUGGUUAAUGUACAGAUGUGUGUACUUCAGAAACUAUGGCCAGAAGAAUAUUGCACAAUAAACUCAACUGAGCUGUUGGAGGCUUGUCACUUGCCAGCAGAGCAGCCCUUGAGGGCAUUCCUCUCUGCAGGAGACACCACACUGCUCAUCCUUUCUCUUGGUGUCUUUUGAUUCUGCAUUUGUAGGAGGACUUCAAGUAUCCAACUUCAUCCUGGAUAGCUGGGCCAACCUCUGUAUGAAAAAAACACAGAAGUGACUUUUCUUUUCCUUGCUGAAAUUUAUUCUAUUCAACACCUAAGCAGUAUCUAAGGUAUGAGAACCUCCAGCUGCCAAAUGCUUAAGUCCCAUGGCUCUUGCAGAGGACUCACAAGUGCAGCCGAGACCUUUGCAGCCCACCUGCUUCUGCACACAUCUGUCUCAUAGGUAACUGGAAAUAGUCUCACUGCCUUGAUCUUCACUUCAGCCAUGGCCCCUGUGUACUUUCACUAGAAACACUGAUUUCUAAUGGCCUGACAUUUAUCUGGUUGAAAAGAGACAGAAAGCAACUCUAAUGAACUGUGGUGGAUUUCGUGUAUAUUGAGAUUUUCUGCAUGAUGAUUUCUAGUGCUGUUCACACACAAGUCACGUGUAGAAGCUAUUCAUUUUUGAUGCAGGUCAUGUUCUCCUAAUAUAUGACAAGUUAUAAUAUGUGGUGCCAUAGGUCGUGUAUCAUGGUGCUUUCCUAUUUUGCAACAAUAUGUAUAACAAUUUUAGUUGUAGUGCAUCUGUCAAAGAGUACUUUUGUAAAGCAGGAGUAUAGAACUGGAGCCAUUUCAUACAUAAUGGAAUAAUAGCAGAACUGGGUUAUUAUUCUACUUCCUUAAAUGUUGUAACAAGUUACUCCAUUUGUAGUGAUCGGUCCAUGUCCAAUAGCUUAAUAGCAUUAGCCAUGGGGUUUUUUCUGAUGUCUUUGUAAUUUGGUUUAACAGUGCUCGGGUCGCUAUCAUAUCACUUCUAAUAUAUCAUCUGUUGUGCAAUAAAUAAAACUUGAAGAGUUAGUAGCCCACAGUAAAUAAAAAUUGAGUCCAAACCUUGUUGAUAAAACAAAUACUUUACAUGGAAUACAGGAAGAGAAAAGAGGAGUCUUAAGCUUUAAUAAAAUAUGUGUACUCCUCAUAGUGUACUUGGUGCUCAAGAAUGAAAGCUCAUUGAUACCACUGGAGUGCUUGCUUUCAUUCCAGCAACAAUUCAAAUAAACUGCUCUCCAAGUGAAUUCAUCUUGAGUUAGCUUGUCAGAUGUGUCAGCACAAUAAAAGACUAGAGUUGCACAGAGUUACGCUGCCGCUGCAGAGUAGCUAAGAUUGUACCCUUAUGUUACAAACAUGUAAUGACAAAUCUGCCUUAAAAUAUUCCUCUCUCUUCCUGCUGCAGCUGACUUAACUGUUUGUGUGAUUGGAUUCUAAACAGUGUCUCAGAGGACCUGUACUGGUGGCAUGGCUUCACCUUCUACAGAAGAGUCAGAGAUCACUGUCUGAGUAUAGGAACCUCUUCAGCUGGAUAUUCUGGUGACGGAGUAGUACCAUGAAACCACUGUCUGGUGGGUCAGUGAGGGAAGCCUGGGAGCUCACAGAAAACUGCAAAAUGAACCUCUUACUUUGUGUUGUCAGUCUGCCCUUGCUCUGGUGGGAAGACCAUUACCAGCCCAUUGGUACCUUUGCCUCUCACUGAUCCCUUAGGAGUAUACUCCCUCUCUUCCUCUAUCUUCUGUGAAAUCCCAGGAUCAACUCUCUUGUGUCUCUACGGUUCAACAUUUUUUACCAACCAUGCCUCUUCAGAAGCUCCAUGUGGUUGCAUAUCUAUGAAACAUUCCUUCUGGGGCUGACAGCAGCAGGUGAACACAGUGAUUUACAUUUCAUUAACCCCUGCUCUCUGCAGAGGUGGUCUAAAUCAGUCAAGUGAAAUGGAGUAGCUUCCUGUUUAGCUGGUGCACAGAAAAGCAGAAUUGUGCCCAUUACUCAUGCUGGGCUUAAAGGAACAAUUCACAGUCAGAAGUCUUCAUAUUUCACCAACAAUCUUCUAGAAAGUCUGGCUGAUGACAUAUUUUUCUCACUCUUUCUCCUUGCUUUCUUUUUUCCUUUAUAAGAACAUAGCAGUCUCCAGGAGCGAUUGCACCAUUACAGGCUUGCAGCUCUUGAGCAAGUGUUUAUUAAUUGCUUCAUUCGUUGAAAACUGCUCUGUGAUUGUCUUUAAUUUUACUAAAAUACUAUUAUUUUUAUUCCUCCCAGUGAGAGGGUGUAUCAAAAUGUUCUGUAGUGAAGGAUUAAAGAACAGAAAACUUUGCAUUUCCAAAUGGCUUUCCUAUUGCCUAGAUUUCCUCAGUAUCUUCGCAGGGUGAUUGCCUUCAGUUCUGCAUUAUUUUUCCUCCUAGGGACCUCAGUCAGGAGUAAACUCCAAGUUGCUCUGGCCAGCUCUGGAUUCAGACUCUGGGGUUUUUUUAACUUAGCAAUCUUGGCAAGAUUAACUGCCCGCCUGAGCAAAUUUUGUGGUCUUGCUGGCUGUGGUGGUCUCAGAUGACAGAGGUAAAAUUCACAUAUUAUUGACCUGAUAAGCAGUGAAAGUUCAGUCUAACACAUUAAAGUACAGCAUGACUUAUCGGUGUAUCUGCUUGUGUAUUUACAUUUGACAGUCCUAAGGCACCUCCACUGGCAAUAAAUUACUGGGCACAAUCAGGAGCAGGUCUUCUUGACAAAAUAAUAUGUCUGAUUUCUUCUUUUCACCGUCCCAAACAAUUUUAAACUGUCUUGUGAAUAGAUAUUUUUUACUUUGAACAAUUAAUUGAUUUUUGAAUGUCAAAGUUUCUCACACUAGUUAAUGCAUACUGGGUUUUUUGGUAGGAAAAUGCUAUCUUUUUUUGGUUUCUUUUUUUCUCUCUGUUUUAUUUUGUUUUAAGUUGCACUUGCAGAAUAUUCUAUUUCAAGAAACAGGCUAGCAAUUGGAAGCAAAUGUGUUUGUAGAACAAACCCUAAAAUCUGCUGCAUUUGUGACAGAAGCACAGUACCAACAUAAACAAUUCUAUCAGAGCACAUGAACCAAGUGUAAUAGCUUUGAGCUCUUCAUGAUAGAAAACAACAACACUUUAUAAAACAUUUUAGGUUAGUUUAUCUGCCUUUUGAAUGAAAUGUAAGUUUCCUUCCUCUUCACUAAAACCAAAAAGUAAUGGAACUGGAGAUAAGGCAGUUCUAGAUAGUCUCAGGACCAGGACAGUCAUCUACAGAGGGCCAGUAUGGGGGUUUUCCCCAUACAGAAUAGGUGUAUCACAGGAAGUUUGACUUCAAGUAAAUCAACAAUUCAGAAUCGAAAACUCCAAGCAAAUAUGAAAGGGAGCAAAAUCCUAAUAAGCUGCUUUCUGGUUUGCAAAAACAGAUUUGCAGUUGUCAUACAGUGCUGGUGAAGAAACCCAACAUCGUUACUUGUAGAGCAACAGCAGGUAAAAAAGAUAUUGAAGCCAUAUAUUUAUUUGCAUUAUUAGGCAGGGAUGCUAAAUCUGUCAGGAACUGAAGUAUAAUAGUGCUUACAGCUAUUUGUUCUUUCUUUGAAAAGAAACCGAAUUGUAUGCUCAGCUCUUAUACUUUCAUUCAAAAAAUAAUUAGGAAAAUUUUUAUGUUAAAAACUGCUACUUAAAUAUUCUUCAGCCUGUAGAAUGGGUAAUUUACAACCAAAAGUUUUAAAAAACUCUCACACAUUGACAAACUCUCUGAGCCUUUGAUGUUAGCAUAUAACAAAUUAGAUAUCUUCAAACUCUUCCACAAUCUUGCUUUCAAAACCUGGAGUUCCUAACUAUGGGGCUAAAGCAUGAUUGUUUCUCUUUUCUCUGUAAUGAAUUAGGAAGGAGUCAGCAUGUCUUCCCUGUGAAAGUUUUCACAGACGUUACAUCAGUGGUUAGGGUUGUGAUUUCGGAACUUAUUUUACUUUCUAAUAUGUUUACUUUAUUCCAGUCCUGCUAGUUAAUUAGAGAUGCUUGGAGUAAACAUGGCUCGCCAGCUGUAUGGUCUUGCAUGAAGACCUGUGAUUUCAGAAUUUUUCCGUGGCUGAUCUCCAGUUACUGCCCAGGGAUGGCAUUAAAAAGAUUUCCUGGAAACUGUGAUCAUCUGAAGGAGGGGAAGGUAGCCUUGGAUCUUAUUAUAGUGAUUCAUGUUCCCUCUGGAACAGACAUGAAACAAUCUAUGAGGAACUGCCUUCUGCACCAGCUAAGACACAAACACUAGUAUAGCAUGAACAGACUUUUAAAAUAAUAUUAAAAGCAGUAUAUAUCAGCAUUGUGUAAUUUAUGCUAGCUGGCUAUUGGUUUUUGACUGAUGUUAUGACUCGACUUCAAUGUACAAAGGAAUUGAAUUAGCCACUCUCUAUUCAAGGGAAAAUUAAUGAAGUUCAUUAUCCUUCAAUGGACCUUAGGUUUGAAACCUUCUUGGUUAAAAAGUACUCCCAACCUAAGCAGUAACACAGGACCUAUAACAGUACCUGGUUCUCUGUCGAGGUAGUAGUGGCUUUCUUUAGACCAAAAGGGAAAUUGCCAUUAGUGUUAUUAGUGGCCGUCUUCAAUGAGAGCGGGAAGCAAAGAGUAGCUAAAGAUGUGCUAUUUUCCUGUACAUUUAACUCUUAACUAAGUAAGUGGAGACUAAGGUAGCAUGUUCUUGCAUGUAUGUACUCACUAUGGAUGGAAGAGCUGCCUGCACUUGCAUCUCCUUAAAAUCAAUAACGUGGCUCCCAUUGUCUUCAGGAGGAACAGAAGCCAAAGCUGCAAAUCCUAUCAGAUAAUUAUAAAUUAAACCAAGAGUUGCAGCAUGCAGCAAAACCUCACGUGACUAUGAUUCAGGAAAGCACUCUGUGUUCUUCAUCAAGGAAGUAAAUCAUGUAGCAGAGGAGGCAUUUUCAGUGUUUUUAAUGCUCCUCAGGAAAACUAAGUACAAUUUUGACUGUGCAGGUUUAUAUCCUCCAUACCUUCAUGGAAUUUUUCCACCUUUAAGGGCCUUUUUAAUUCACAAAAAAGCUUUGCCUUCUGUUAAUAUGUUCCAAUGUGCAUUUAUUUCCACAGCUGAUCACUGAAACCCCAAGAAGGCAACAGCUGUUGUGAAUGUAUAACCAGAUUUCCCAGCUAAUUAGUGGUUUUAAAUGGACUUGGUUUCUCCCCCCCUUGUGAUUUCAGUAUUGAUGACACUGCUAAUAAAUUCUUAAUGAGAAAGAAUGUUAUAUAGAUGUUGGGUAAACUAGAUCUUCUUUUGUAUUGGAAGCAUAGCACACAAUUAAAAUGUACCAUGGAUAGAAUCAUAGCUUUGUUUAACUCACAUCAACCUACUCACUCUGUGCUGAAAUGUGUCCUGUUGUGUUAAAUGUACCACACUGAUCUAAAAGUGGUGAAUUCUGUGGGUGCCCGGGGUUAUUAUCAGACCCAGACGCUGCAUGCUUGCAAGACGUGCCUCCACACAGUUCCUCAAGUCUGAAGCAGAAGAAGUGUGUAAAAUGAUCCCACUUGUCCUUUACAAAACCGGUUUCUAAUCCUUGCAAAGAAAGCAUCGCAAACGUAAUUUUCCCAUUAAAGCUGACUGUCUAUUACUUAUCUUUUCCAUAAGGUUUCUUGGUUUAUUCAUGGUGUGGUCACAGUGAAUCAGGAGAUAACUGUGCAGUCUGUAAGGAAUUUUUACACUUAGUUGGAAAUCAUUGCUUUUUAAAGCUGUUAUUUAUGAUCACUUCUCUACAUUAAUUUUGGAAGCAUACUGAUCAUUUCAAGGGUUUUCGUUCAGAAGUUGGGCAGGUAAGAAUGUGAUUUUUAAAGAGAAAGUUUUAUAUUUAGGAAGCACUAACCAGAGGUUAAAAUCUUUUGAAAGCCAUCCUCUGGUCACCUCUGCCAAGCAAGUAGGGAGCGAGGAGUGGGGAAUCCAAAAUGAAAAAAAUUGAAACCUUGCAGAUUUUUAAAGCUCAAUUAAAUUUGAAGUGUAAUUUAACCUGAUUUCUUCAAUAAAAUGGAAUUUUCCAAGAAAUAUAUAUUUGUGAUAAAAUUCUAAUUUUUUUAGAAAAUGGAUAUGUGUCAUUAGCUGUGUUUCUGGUGGAGAAGUCCUGCUGGAUUGUGUGUGAUCCUAACAAGCUUUAGAAUACUGAGGACAAUUUGGCUCAUGUUUACUGCUGGGGAAGGAAGGCUGUGUAAGCUUCUGUGUGUAAUGCCAGUGCUGCAUGAGCCAUGAAUCGAUCUCCCUGUAGAAAAUGAUGACAUUUGUUUUUUAGAAUUCAUGCUUCUGAGAAUUCUAAGUAUUAAUUUAAUUUUUAGCCUUCCGUUUUCUGAGACCUCAGCACUUUCAUUUUCUAUGCUUUGAUCUGCAGCUCUGAGGAUAUGAGUAAUUUUUAAAGGGGAAGUGGAGUUUCUGUGUUGACCACAUAAUUGCAAGAGCUGGGCUUUUGUGAAAGAUAAUCCAAUAUUGUGAAACUAGUGAUGAACUCAUCAGAAUUGUUGUGGCUGAGAGGACGUUCUUAGAGCAUGAGAUACUAUUGGUAAUGAACAGAGUGAAGGGAAAGUAAAUGAUUUCCAGCUUUGGCGUUGCAUCCUGUCAGCCGAGUACCUGCAUCCAGAGUUCAGCUUAAUUGUUCCUUUUCCUUGCAGGCAUCAAGCAAAUAUUUUCUUAUAUGCACCUUUUUAAACAUGAUUCACUUGUCUAUAUUGCUGGGCAGAGAUUUAGCUUAUUUACCCAAGGACAAUCACUUGGCUUCCAAACUAUAUUUUUAAAACAACAUGGCUUCUGUGACCAUCCUUCAUCCACUGGAUUUAUAUAAAUAGAUUAAUCAAAAAACUACACAAAAGGAUUACUAAUACAGUGCAAAUCAUCAUCUUAAAAG
Molecule: RNA transcript, 14725 nt
Organism: Cuculus canorus (common cuckoo)
Lineage: Eukaryota; Metazoa; Chordata; Aves; Cuculiformes; Cuculidae
Gene: NID1
Gene name: nidogen 1
Exons: 22
Source: RefSeq, a predicted model, not a curated record